This is a long non-coding RNA of Cebus imitator (Panamanian white-faced capuchin), 1249 nucleotides long. RefSeq lists it as uncharacterized. NCBI's taxonomy places the organism in Eukaryota, Metazoa, Chordata, Mammalia, Primates, Cebidae. The record is from RefSeq and is a predicted model, not a curated record. The transcript has 2 exons.
GAGCUGCUGGGUUGGUGAACACAUGGAGGUGUGGGGAGGGUGGCAGGCCCAGAGAGAACAUGGAUUCCCCACGGUCCUUCCCACAUACCUCAUUCUUUUCAUCUGGCUGCUCCUGAGUUGUGUCCUUUAUAAUAAACUGACAAUGAACCGUAAAAAUACCAAGUCAAAAAACAAAAGCAAAAACAAAACCACAACAAAAAGCCUAGGAGAGAAGCAAUAAUAUGGAGAAAGUGCAAGAGUGAAUUAGCUGCCCAUGGCCAUAGCAUGGAAGUGAGGUGAAGGUUGGGAAAGGUCCAGGAAAGAAUCUAAACAUAGCUGAUGGAGUGGUUCAGGAGCUGAGGAGCUGGGGAUCUGGGUUUGGAGGACACCUCUCUGUAAAUGAAUGAGAUACAGCUCAUGUUCCUGUCGCAGAGGAUAAAAAUCAGACCCAUAGAGAAGAAAAACGUAGAGUCUAAAGGACAUGACAAAAGUAUUGGGUAGAGCCUACAUAAAUAGCAUUGGAGAGGGUAUACCAAAGAGAACUGGGAUGUUUCAGCAGAUAUAGAAUGACAGUGACUCUGGAGGAUAUAGUGGUCUCCUAGACUAUGAGGGCAGGAAGGGAUCUUAGUCCCGUCUACUUGCUGUGUAGGGAAGGAAAACGGAUGGAGAAAAAGGUCAAGGAAAAUGUUCAAGGUCACAGAUGUCAUUCUGCUGCUCAAAACUUGCCUUCCUCACUUUUAUUUCUCACUUUGCCUUUCCUUGCUCCUUGCUUACAGGAUGAAGUCCAACUCUUUAGUAUGACAUCAAUGCCUUGACUUUGCAAUUUGACCUCACAGUACUCCCUUUGCUUGUUUUUCAAUUUACCUAAAAAUAUUCUGUGCUUUUCCCUGCUUCCCUGCUUAUGCUAUUCUUUCUGAAUUGAAUGCCUCUCUUUCCUCUACCCACUUCUUGAAAUACUGGCUUUAGGAGCCAGUUUAAGACUCAGAGAGUUCCAAAUGUCCAAAACAUUUUCUUCAAAUCUCUCCCUUCCAAGAAAUAAUUUUCCUUACUUCAAAACCAUAUAUCACCCUGUGGUAUUUCUCCUGUGUAAAUGUCACCUCGUAAUAUGACUGCUAGAGUUCUCAUAAUCAGGUGGCAAACUCUUUAACAACAAUAAAGCUGCCUUAGUAAUUUCUGUGCCCACCAUCACUCAGAGCUUGUGCAUAUUAAGAGCCUAGCAGUAUUUACCGCUAGGAACAAAUGAAUAAAUUAAUGAAGCUAUUAAAUCUCA